ACUCCUACGGGAGGCAGCAGUGGGGAAUAUUGGACAAUGGGCGCAAGCCUGAUCCAGCCAUGCCGCGUGAGUGAUGAAGGCCCUAGGGUUGUAAAGCUCUUUCACCGGUGAAGAUAAUGACGGUAACCGGAGAAGAAGCCCCGGCUAACUUCGUGCCAGCAGCCGCGGUAAUACGAAGGGGGCUAGCGUUGUUCGGAUUUACUGGGCGUAAAGCGCACGUAGGCGGACUAUUAAGUCAGGGGUGAAAUCCCGGGGCUCAACCCCGGAACUGCCUUUGAUACUGGUAGUCUUGAGUUCGAGAGAGGUGAGUGGAAUUCCGAGUGUAGAGGUGAGAUUCGUAGAUAUUCGGAGGAACACCAGUGGCGAAGGCGGCUCACUGGCUCGAUACUGACGCUGAGGUGCGAAAGCGUGGGGAGCAAACAGGAUUAGAUACCCCAGUAGUCCCAUG
This 448-nucleotide ribosomal RNA is filed under the name uncultured organism. Its description in RNAcentral is "partial 16S ribosomal RNA". It matches the Rfam family "Bacterial small subunit ribosomal RNA", at positions 335 to 799 of the family's 1533-position model. The record is from RNAcentral.